Long non-coding RNA from Haliaeetus leucocephalus (bald eagle), 104 nucleotides. RefSeq lists it as uncharacterized. The transcript is spliced from 3 exons. Lineage: Eukaryota; Metazoa; Chordata; Aves; Accipitriformes; Accipitridae. The record is from RefSeq and is a predicted model, not a curated record.
CUGGUGGAUCUUGAUUGGUCAGUUCAAUUUUCAGCCUGCGGCCUCUAGGGUUUGGGGUUUUUUUUCCUCUCCUCCCUGCCUGGAGAAGUUUCGUUUCCUGUUGG